Molecule: microRNA precursor, 103 nt
Filed under: Marmota monax (woodchuck)
Lineage: Eukaryota; Metazoa; Chordata; Mammalia; Rodentia; Sciuridae
Source: RNAcentral
AGCAGGAUUGCUAGGUCAUAAGAUAACUCUUUGUUUAACAUUUUGAGGAACUGCUAAACUGUUUUCCAAAGUUGCUGCACCAUUUGGCAUUACCACUAGUACU